CGUGGGUAACCUGCCCAAGAGAUCGGGAUAACACCUGGAAACAGAUGCUAAUACCGGAUAAUAACAGAUGAUGCCUAUCAACUGUUUAAAAGACGGUUCUGCUAUCACUCUUGGAUGGACCUGCGGUGCAUUAGCUAGUUGGUAGGGUAACGGCCUACCAAGGCGAUGAUGCAUAGCCGAGUUGAGAGACUGAUCGGCCACAUUGGGACUGAGACACGGCCCAAACUCCUACGGGAGGCAGCAGGC
Molecule: ribosomal RNA, 246 nt
Filed under: uncultured Lactobacillus sp.
Lineage: Bacteria; Bacillati; Bacillota; Bacilli; Lactobacillales; Lactobacillaceae
Description: partial 16S ribosomal RNA
Rfam family: Bacterial small subunit ribosomal RNA
Source: RNAcentral